AUCAUGACCGGAGUCUAAGUUGAAGGCUUAACUGAGUAAGCCACCCAGUUAAGGAAACUGAAGAAUAGAAAGUUAAACAACUCAGUCAAAGGUGUUUAUAGCUGAGUUGGGAUUCAGAUGCGUUAACCAAUGAAAUAGAUCAAGAUUCUCAGCCAGUGUGCAAAGCACUGUAAACUAUGGAGUCAGUCACGUUUUAAGGCUUGGGUUGCCAGAUGUUCACAAAAAUACUAGACUACCAAAAGAGCAAUGAAAAAAACUCUACUCCCCACUCCUAAGUCCAGGACUGAAGUUCAGUUGGAAACUUACCCCAGCUGGUCUUGGAGUCAGAAGAAAUGACAGUACUGCUGCAUUUAGGGAAGAAAAGAGGAGCAAAAAGUAAACAGCCAGAAGCAGAAGAAUUUCAGGAAGCUAUAUAAGGCACUAGAAAAAGCCAGCUACCAUGUCAUGAUCAAUCUUGUGAAGAGGCUCAUGUGGCUGGGAAUGAAGUUUUUCUAACACAGCCUAUGGAGGACUCCUUGAUGCCUCCUUCCAAUGGGCAUGUAGAAUGAGCCAUAUUGAAAACAGAUCCUCCAGCCCCAGUCAAGGUUUCAGCUGACAGCAACCCCAACAGAAAGCUUGACUGAAAUGUCAUGAGAGACCCUAAGCCAGAACAAUUCAGCUAAGUUACUUCCGAAUUCUUGAACUUUAGUACUUGUGUGAGAUAAUAAAUAUUAUUUUAAGCUGCUAAGCAUUCAGACAGAAAUGUAUUGUAUAACAACAGGUAACUGAUACAGACCAUUAUGUUCUCAGAAGGGUCCAUGACCCAAAAGAGGAAUAAGAACCCUGGUAUGCAUAAUGUUCAUAUUUCUAUUAGCAUUUAUCACUGUGUAUCAUUAUUUGCUUGUCAGGUUCCCCUCGAUAUAAGCCACUUCAAAACUACAAAAUUGCGUUCAUCAUUAUAUCUUCAGCACCUACCACAGAGCUGGAAAUAUAAUAGACAGGUUAAAAAAAUAUUUUUUUUUACUAAAUGAAAGUUUACCUUUUAUCUGGAACUUGAUGCAAAUGCUGGCUUAUAGGAAAGAUUCAAGUCACUAGACAACCCUCUUAGGGGCUUUAGAUGCUGUGGCACAUUUACAGAGAAGGACUAGAGAAUUCCAAGGUAUCUGAGAAUUUAAAGUUCUCCUAGUAAAAGAGACAUAGAAAAAUAAUAUGUAGAUGAAAAACAUUGGCAUUGAAAGGAUGAUGGCACUUUCCCUCUCAACAGAAUCUGGACCUAUGCCUUCUAUGAUGUGAGAGUGAGAGAAAAACAACCUACAGUCAUUUUGAGAUGACUGGGUUAUCAGUGAAAAAGGACAUUGGAAAUUAGGUAUGUCCUCAGCCUACUCUGUGUGUGUGUGUGUGUGUGUGUGUGUGUGUGUGUGUAUUUCAGGUGUGUGUGACUGGGAGACAACUAGAAAGUGUUAUGUUUCUGUAAAACUCAACAUCUGGCUUGAAGAAAUUUUUAUGAGAGUCUAUAAAGGCACACAGGGCUUUUGCAUGUAACCAAAGCAUGUAUGCAUUUAAAAAAGGGUUCUUCAUAAUUGUCUAUAGUCAUUGAUUAAGAUAUUUCAUAUCAAUUCUAGUUUAUGAUAAAAAAUAGAUGUGCUUUAUUAUAAAGAAUAUUUCUUCUUUGCUUUCCUUGUUGUUUUGCAAGUGAAAGAACUCUCUCUCUUGCACAAAAAUGACUGAGUGGACCGUCUAGCAAGGGUGACUGUGUAAAGUAUACUGUGCACAAAGAAAAUUACAGAAAUUCCAGAUCAUUCAAAAAUACAAAAUUAAAAGAAACUAGAAGAAAAGAAUAGGUUUAUCAGAAAAGAGCGACCUUACAAGCACCUUUGUCCAUCUACAGUUUUUAUUCAACAGUUGAAUCAAAGUUUACAGUUUUGUAAACAGUCUCGUUUUCUCACACACUUCAGCUGCAUACAGGUUAUUGACACUAGUCACACACAAUCAGCAAUAACAA
Long non-coding RNA from Felis catus (domestic cat), 1981 nucleotides. RefSeq lists it as uncharacterized. The transcript has 7 exons. NCBI's taxonomy places the organism in Eukaryota, Metazoa, Chordata, Mammalia, Carnivora, Felidae. The record is from RefSeq and is a predicted model, not a curated record.